Myotis brandtii (Brandt's bat) is the source of this 75-nucleotide non-coding RNA. The record is from Rfam. NCBI's taxonomy places the organism in Eukaryota, Metazoa, Chordata, Mammalia, Chiroptera, Vespertilionidae.
GGCAGUUCUCAGGUGAUGCACCCCAGAAUCAGACUCCUUCCUCUCUGGUUCUGGGUGCGUCAUCCAAGAACCACU